GAUGAACGCUGACAGAAUGCUUAACACAUGCAAGUCUUUGGCGAAGCUGUGCUUGCACAGCCUAGCCAAGGCGGACGGGUGAGUAACGCGUAAGGAACUUGCCCUGCAGUCAGGGAUAACAGACGGAAACGACUGAUAAGACCUGGUAAAGUCAGGCGGACUCAUGUCCAGCCUGAUGAAAAGAGAUGCUGCAGGAGAGCCUUGCGUCCUAUUAGCUUGUUGGUGGGGUAACGGCCCACCAAGGCGAUGAUAGGUAGCCGGCCUGAGAGGGUGGACGGCCACAAGGGGACUGAGAUACGGCCCUUACUCCUACGGGAGGCAGCAGUGGGGAAUAGUGGACAAUGGGGGCAACCCUGAUCAAGCAAUUCUGUGUGCACGAUGAAGGUUUUCGGAGUGUAAAGUGCUUUCAGCAGGGAAGAAAAAAAUGACGGUACCUGCAGAAGAAGCGACGGCUAAAUACGUG
This 463-nucleotide ribosomal RNA is filed under the name uncultured bacterium. RNAcentral's name for it is "partial 16S ribosomal RNA". It matches the Rfam family "Bacterial small subunit ribosomal RNA", at positions 28 to 507 of the family's 1533-position model. The record is from RNAcentral.